AACAGACACUAUUUUAGUGUAUAGUUUUUGGGAUCAAAUAAAUGUGGAGACAAUUAGGCAAUGUGCUGAUGUUUUUCUCCUCCUCCGUCAGAUCCUACUGCUCCCAUCGAAAUCAUAUAAUCUUGACUGAUUAAACCUUACAGAAGAUGAUCAAUAGAUGGAACAACUCCAGAUCAGUAAUAUUACAGGACGGCAUGAGGAACGGAAGAAGAGAGAGGAGGACUGCACAUAAAAGUAAAUUUUAAGAGAAAAUGGUGGCAGGGUGCAAAUUAAAAUCCCAAUCUGCAGAGAGCAAAUUAAAAUCCCAAGCUGCAGAGAGCAAAGAGACAAUGGUGGCAGGGUCAUUUCAUUUGUCGGUCGAGGGAUAGGGACGUUUCAGCUUCAUUCAAUUUUGAAGAAAAUCCAUGUCUUCGAUAUUCUGCGCUUGUGCACGAUUCUAAAUUUGGUCGGGAAGAAAGGCUUUACUUGGCCCACAAGAUUGCAAUAAAACCAGCAGAGAAGCCAUAUUGCAAGACUAGGGAUUGUCUGGUUUUAGUAAGAAACGAUUAACCUUUCUACAUUUUGUUCAUGUUUGAUCGUAUUUAGAACAAGUUUCCAUGAGUUAUUGUUCUAUAUUUUGUUCAA
Molecule: long non-coding RNA, 624 nt
Organism: Populus nigra (black poplar)
Lineage: Eukaryota; Viridiplantae; Streptophyta; Magnoliopsida; Malpighiales; Salicaceae
Exons: 2
Source: RefSeq, a predicted model, not a curated record